This 391-nucleotide unclassified non-coding RNA is filed under the name Hevea brasiliensis (rubber tree). Lineage: Eukaryota; Viridiplantae; Streptophyta; Magnoliopsida; Malpighiales; Euphorbiaceae. The record is from RNAcentral.
AAACUCUUUAAAUUUUCUAAUUCUAUAAUAAUUAAAAUUCUUAUAUAGAAUUAUUUUCCCAUACUGCAUUACAAAGCUUCCAGUAAAUUCAAAUUCCAUCAUAAUCAUCCAUAGUCCUUCAACUCCUACUCAAUACAAUCUAACAAUGUGGCUUAUACUAUGUUCUUUCUUACAGAAAAAAUAGAUAUUAGCUGUAUCAAUGAGAGAAUGACAGAUAAAAUGGCAUCCCUAUCAUUAUAGGGAUUCGCAUGUUCUUAUUCCUAUAAAACCCAAGUAGAUAAAUAUACCCAGAAACAAAAUCAAGCUCAUACACACAAUCAGAGCGUAAAUCCACAAGAAAACAACAGAUUCCUCAUUACCAGUACAAUAAAAAGGAAGAAGAAAAUUGGUA